GCCCGCGUCGCAUAGUGGUAUUGCACAAGAUUGGAAAUCUUGGCCCGCAAGGGCCCGCAGGUUCGAUUCCUGCCGCGGGCG
This 81-nucleotide transfer RNA is filed under the name Nanobdellota archaeon. Its description in RNAcentral is "tRNA-Ser". It matches the Rfam family "tRNA". From Rfam's summary of the family: Transfer RNA (tRNA) molecules are approximately 80 nucleotides in length. Their secondary structure includes four short double-helical elements and three loops (D, anti-codon, and T loops). RNAcentral also lists the same sequence under 1 other name. Lineage: Archaea; Nanobdellati; Nanobdellota. The record is from RNAcentral.